RNAcentral lists this unclassified non-coding RNA (298 nucleotides) under plant metagenome. RNAcentral's name for it is "partial contains 5.8S ribosomal RNA, internal transcribed spacer 2, and large subunit ribosomal RNA". The stretch from base 1 to 105 matches the Rfam family "5.8S ribosomal RNA", at positions 50 to 154 of the family's 154-position model. The record is from RNAcentral.
GAAAUGCGAUAAGUAAUGUGAAUUGCAGAAUUCAGUGAAUCAUCGAAUCUUUGAACGCACAUUGCGCUCGCCAGUAUUCUGGCGAGCAUGCCUGUUCGAGCGUCAUUUCAACCAUCAAGCUCUGCUUGCGUUGGGGAUCCGCGGCUGCCCGCGGUCCCUCAAAAACAGUGGCGGGCUCGCUAGUCACACCGAGCGUAGUAACUCUACAUCGCUAUGGUCGUGCGGCGGGUUCUUGCCGUAAAACCCCCAAUUUCUAAGGUUGACCUCGGAUCAGGUAGGAAUACCCGCUGAACUUAAG